AUUGAACGCUGGCGGCAGGCCUAACACAUGCAAGUCGAGCGGAUGACGGGAGCUUGCUCCUUGAUUCAGCGGCGGACGGGUGAGUAAUGCCUAGGAAUCUGCCUGGUAGUGGGGGACAACGUUUCGAAAGGAACGUUAAUACCGCAUACGUCCUACGGGAGAAAGCAGGGGACCUUCGGGCCUUGCGCUAUCAGAUGAGCCUAGGUCGGAUUAGCUAGUUGGUGGGGUAGUGGCUCACCAAGGCGACGAUCCGUAACUGGUCUGAGAGGAUGAUCAGUCACACGGGAACUGGGACACGGUCCAGAAUCCUACGGGAGGCAGCAGUGGGGAAGAUUGGAAAAUGGGCGAAAGCCUGAUCCAGCCAUGCCGCGUGUGUGAAGAAGGUCUUCGGAUUGUAAAGCACUUUAAGUUGGGAGGAAGGGCAGUAAGCUAAUACCUUGCUGUUUUGACGUUACCGACAGAAUAAGCACCGGCUAACUCGGUGCCAGCAGCCGCCGUAA
RNAcentral lists this ribosomal RNA (500 nucleotides) under uncultured bacterium. RNAcentral's name for it is "partial 16S ribosomal RNA". It matches the Rfam family "Bacterial small subunit ribosomal RNA", at positions 30 to 523 of the family's 1533-position model. The record is from RNAcentral.